GGUUCAAGUCAAGGAGCGGAAGAGUGGGUGGUUUAUCAUCGAAAAGGAGUAAUUGGGGCUUGGCCUUACAUUUGUGAUCCCAAGUAUACUUCUCAUCGCAAUGGUAACAAAGACCUUGGGAUCAACGAUAGGCGGCCUCGGCUGGAGAAAGGCAAUGAAAAGGAAUCUUAGUGCCCGUCGAAAGGGUAGUUGGACGUCAUAGGCUAUGGUUGUAGUGUAGGUUAUGAACCAGAAGGGGAACGUGGGUUGGCCAGGAGAGGUUUGCUAUUCCCCAAGGUUGUCUUCAUGGACCCUCUCUCGAUAGCGAGCUGUUGUUCAUGAAUUUCGGCCAACCCAAUUGUGUCUUCAAGCUGAGUUGGUUUGUGGACCAAAACAACUGCCUUGAUAUCAAAUCGAAGACCUGAG
RNAcentral lists this long non-coding RNA (405 nucleotides) under Gossypium barbadense (sea-island cotton). RNAcentral describes it as "long non-coding RNA (GBAR_LNC006366)". Lineage: Eukaryota; Viridiplantae; Streptophyta; Magnoliopsida; Malvales; Malvaceae. The record is from RNAcentral.